UGGGAAAUUUCAUCGUGAUGGGGAUAGAUCAUUGCAAUUGUUGGUCUUCAACGAGGAAUGCCUAGUAAGCGCGAGUCAUCAGCUCGCGUUGACUACGUCCCUGCCCUUUGUACACACCGCCCGUCGCUCCUACCGAUUGAAUGGUCCGGUGAAGUGUUCGGAUCGCGGCGACGGGGGCGGUUCGCCGCCCCCGACGUCGCGAGAAGUCCAUUGAACCUUAUCAUUUAGAGGAAGGAGAAGUCGUAACAAGGUUUCCGUAGGUGAACCUGCGGAAGGAUCAUUG
This 283-nucleotide ribosomal RNA is filed under the name Calamagrostis epigejos. Its description in RNAcentral is "Calamagrostis epigeios partial 18S ribosomal RNA". It matches the Rfam family "Eukaryotic small subunit ribosomal RNA", at positions 1553 to 1831 of the family's 1831-position model. Lineage: Eukaryota; Viridiplantae; Streptophyta; Magnoliopsida; Poales; Poaceae. The record is from RNAcentral. RNAcentral also lists the same sequence under 1 other name.